Molecule: ribosomal RNA, 484 nt
Filed under: uncultured bacterium
Lineage: Bacteria
Description: partial 16S ribosomal RNA
Rfam family: Bacterial small subunit ribosomal RNA
Source: RNAcentral
AUUGAACGCUGGCGGCAGGCCUAACACAUGCAAGUCGAGCGGAUGAAGGGAGCUUUCUCCUGGAUUCAGCGACGGACGGGUGAGUAAUGCAUAGGAAUCUGCCUUGUCGUUGGGGAUAACGUCCGUAAACGGGAGCUAAUACCGCAUACGUCCUGAUGUAGAAAGUGGGGGAUCUUCGGACCUCACGCUAUCAGAUGAGCCUAGGUCGGAUUAGCUAGUUGGUGGGGUAAAGGCCUACCAAGGCGACGAUCCGUAACUGGUCUGAGAGGAUGAUCAGUCACACUGGAACUGAGACACGGUCCAGACUCCUACGGGAGGCAGCAGUGGGGAAUAUUGGGCAAUGGGCGAAAGCCUGAUCCAGCCAUGCCGCGUGUGUGAAGAAGGUCUUCGGAUUGUAAAGCACUUUAAGUUGGGAGGAAGAGCAGUAAGUUAAUCCCUUGCUGUUUUGACGUUACCAACAGAAUAAGCACCGGCUAACUUCGUG